This 9058-nucleotide long non-coding RNA is filed under the name Jatropha curcas. RNAcentral describes it as "long non-coding RNA (JCUR_LNC001376)". The record is from RNAcentral. Lineage: Eukaryota; Viridiplantae; Streptophyta; Magnoliopsida; Malpighiales; Euphorbiaceae.
GGAGGUAUUUUAGAAUACCUCUUUUCUCUUCUUUUUCCUCUCCUUCUUACCUGUCCUCGAACCUUGGCAGCAAGAUAAGACUGUGCAAGUAUCAAACCACCAAGGCACUUUAGAGGGAGGUGCUAAUUGGUUCUAACAUUUAGUAAUAAAUAAAGCGAACAUCCAUUAAACAAAUAACUCCCUGACUAAAGAGAUAAGGUGUAUUUUUUAAUUAUGUUUGUUACUAAAUAAUAUAACUUUGAAUUCAAAUUAAUUGACAAAUUUGUAACAUUUCUAUUAAAGAGAUUAUCAUAAUUCAGAAUUAAUAUUCAAAUCAAACAGUCAUCACUUUGUACAGUUAACAUGGCACUCACUGUAUUAUAAAGUGUCUAUCUAAUUUUCGUAAUUUUUAAAACUUUAUUCGAUAAAUAAAAUAAAAUAGCUAAUUUGCCACUAUUUUUAUUUUAUUUUAUUUUAUCUUCUUUAUCCCAUUUAAUGGUUUCAUUAAUGUUUAAGAGGAAAAUUAAUGAUAAUUAAUCUUGACCUUCUUCUUGCACAAAAGGAUGAAGAAAAAUCAACAGAGAGAGUAACAGUUGAACUAAUCUUUGCUUAUGUCCUGUCUUUACCUAAAGAAAACGUGUGACGGUGGUGCAAAACUGGGAAAUUGACUUCCUGAUAUAUAAUGUAAUUAUCGACGAAUUAUUAUUUUAUUUUUUGAUAUAAAUUUUGUUAACUCUUAAAAAUAAAAAAAUUUUCGAAAAUAAAAUCUUACUUUUAAAAUUUAUUAAAUUGUAGGAAAUAAAUAAUUUAAUAAUGUACUUUUCUAUUAUUAUUAGUUUCCCAUAAAUUGUGGUUCUAAUAAAUUUCAAGAUAGGAGAAUUGACAGAAGGUGGGGUUAGUCCUUGGUGGAAUAUUAUGGGCCUAUGUUUUUAUUCCAUGUACUGAAAAUAAAUAAAUAUAUAUAUAGCCAUUAAUACUCCUAAUUAGAAGAUUUUCUUCUUUGUCACAACAUCCCUAAUUUUGAGGUCUGGGAUUUGUAGGUCAUUGUCAUCUAAACAGUUUAGUAUCUUAAAUGUACAAGACUGAAGAGGGGUGUUGUGAUGGAAGGGGUAAACUGUUUCCUUGAACACAACAUCCCUUGAGUAGAAAAUCUGCUUAAAGUGCAUGCCAUAGAUCUUGUAACCCUUCUGUUGAGCCCCAUAACCCAACAAUACACAUGGUUUAGCUCUAGGAUCAAAAUUGUCUUUGUGUGGUUUAGUAUUAGUUGCAAAACACAGGCAGCCAAUAACUCUUAGGUGUGUCAGGUCUGGUUGGAUUUGAUUUAGUUUUUCAAAAGGGCUUAACCAUUCUAAGAGUGCAGAAGGCACUCUAUUGGUUAGGUAAACAGCAAAUAGGAGAACUUUAGACAAAAAAAUCUUAGGGAAUUUGGCCUGAAAAAGAAGGGCUCUCCCAAUAUUCAAGAUUUCUUUGUGUUUUCUCUCCACUCUACCAUUUUGCUGUGGAGAAUAGGAACAAGAUACUUGAUGUGUAAUUCCUUUAGAAAGAAAUAAUAUCUUCACUACAUUAUUCACAAACUCAGUGCCAUUAUCAGUCCUUAUUGCUUUGAUUUGGGUGUGAAAUUGGGUGUCUAUUAGGUUAGUAAAGUGGUCAAGAAUUGAGUGAGCUUGUUGUUUGUUUGGUAACAUGUAGGCCCAUGUGUAUCUAUUAUAGUCAUCCACAAUGGUAAGCAUAUAUCUGACACUAGUCAAAGAAGUAAUAGGAUAAGGUCCCCAUAGGUCAAUGUGUACUAAAUCAAAUAUGCCUUUGGCUAAGGGUGACCACGGUUCCGAAAUCGACAGUUCCGAUUCCAAAUUUUUUGAAACCGGAACCGAACCGAAAAUUUCCAGUUUCGGUUUCGGUUUGAAAUCGAACGGUUCUGGUUCCUUAAUGGUUUCAAAACCGACGGUUCCGAUCUGUUUUCCGACAAAUCACAUAAUUUUAAAUUUUAAAUUUUGAAGACCGGUUUUCAAAAUUUAAAAAAUUUGGGAAAGUUAUUUCUAAAAAAAAAUUUCAAAUUUGUAAAUGGAAUGGAAUGGGGUAUUUAUAAUAAAUCCAAAAAAUUUUUUUUCCAAAAAUACUCUUGAAACUAGCCGUUAUGUGGCCGUUUAUGGUUGUUGGGAGAGGUCAUUAAGAGAUUUCACAACAAAAUUUAAAAGAAAAAAAAUCUGACAGUUUCUAACGGCUAGAACCGCCGGUUCGAACUGGCGGUUCUAACCGGCCGGAGAACCGGUGGUUCCAUCCGGUUCCCACCGGUUUGUGGAACCACCGGUUUGCGGUUCCAACAAUACUGGAACCGGAACCAAACCGAAAAUCUUUGGUUCGGACCGGUUCCGAUUCCCGGAACAGUAAUAUGGCCACCCUACCUUUAGCAAUAUUACAACUUGGAUAAAAUGGUAAUAUUUGUUGUUUUGCAAGGGGGCAAACAUUACAUUCAAGAGUACCACUGUUUGUAUCAAAAUUUAUUACAUGAUUUUGUCUAGCCAUAGAGAUAUGACCCAGUCUAAGAUGCCAUAAUAGUCUCAAAUGAUCAUCAUGUGUAGUACCAGUAAGUAGGGCUUCAGUAGUAGUAAUAGGCACAAAACACUUCUUAUCAAGAAAAUAUAAGCCUCCAUUCAACUUGCCAAUAGCUACUACUUCAUCAGUCUGCAAAUCCUAUAACAAACAGUGGUCAGGUAGUGUUUUCACUGAUAGUGCAUUGUCUUUUGCAAGGGCUGAUGCGGAUAAUAAAUUGCAUUUGAAUGUUGGUAUAUAUAACACAUCCUUUAAUACCAGUCUGUCAUGUAUUAUGAUCUUGCCAACAUGUGUUAUAGUUCUGGUGGAGUUAUCAGGUAGGGUUACUGUUCUAGGUUUAGGUAAUUUGGUUAAUGUAUGAAACAGAUGAUGCAUGUAUGUCAUAUAAUCAGUUGCACCAGUGUCAACAAUCCAUGGAACUAAUUCACAUUUAUCAUGCACAUUAUAAUGAAAAUGAGAGACAAUACCUGCAAAACUAACUGCGUUAGCUAUAGGUGUAUCUCCUGCCUUAUCAUCAUACUGCAUUUUAUCUUUGAUUGCCCGCUGGAUCUCCAUUCUCACCAGUCUGGAUACAUCAUUCUCAUUGCCACCUGAGUUAACAUUCAACUGUGCAUCACCUACUUGUCCAUAAUGUGCUUGAGCUUUCUUCUUCUUUUUGAGUUCAAUAAACCAAUCUGGAUAACCAGUUAGUUUAAAACAAGUUUCUCUAGUGUGGCCGGUCCCAUUACAGUGAUCACAAUGCUUGUCAACUUUAGAUCUGGAAUUAUUGCUUGUAUUUUUGCUGUUGUAGUUUGAUUUUUGCACAUACAUUGCACUGCUAUUCUCACUUGAAUCAUAGAUUGUAGUAUUCACCUCCCUCUGUUUUUCAACACUCAGUACCAUUGAAUAAGCCUUGCUCAUACUUGGAAAUGGAUCCAUAAAUAGGAUUUGAUUUUUAACAUUAUCAUAUGUAUCAUUCAGUCCUAAGAGGAACUGCAUGAGUUUUUCCUCUCCAUCUAGAUCUGAGACUGCUCUUAUAACACCUCAGGUACAUCCUUCUGCAAUUCCACAGAUGCAUUCGGGAACGGGCUUUAAACAAGCCAACUCAUCCCAGAGUUUUUUAAGUUUUGUGUAGUAAUUAGCUACUGUUUGAUUACCUUGUACAGUUACUAAAAUAUCUUUCUUUAUUUGGUAAAUCAUAGGUCCAUUAGAUUCACCAUACCUGGAGGACAGUUCAUUCCAAAGAUCUUUGGAACUUUGAUAAUACAGAAAUGCUUCAACUAAAUCUUUUGAAAUAGAGUUUAAGAUCCAAGAUGUUACCAGAUUAUCGAUUCUCUGCCAUCUCUUUUUCAAUGGAGGUCCAGCUAUAGGUUCCUGUUCUUCACUAGUGACAAAUUCAUACUUGUCUCUGGCCUUUAAGGCUAUGGUCAUAGAUCUGCUCCAUGACAAGAAAUUCUGGCUAUUCAAGGAAAUAUUAAUGAGGUUUGAAGCUGAAUUUUCAGAUGCAGAAACCUUAUAAGUUUCUGAUUCAUGGUUUGAGUUUUCAUUGUUUUGGUUAUUGUUUUCUGACAUUGAUUUCAGGAAAGGAAGUUUGAAUGAGGCUUUAGAACUUCAAAUACCAGAUCAGGCUCUGAUACCAUGAACAGAAAAGCAAAAUAGAUGAAGAAUUUUGUAUAUUUCUUCUCAUUAUGAAAUCUGUACAUUGGGUUCUAUUUAUAUUUACAAAUGCGUAGUAUAUUCUUAUUUUAGGACCUACUGUAUUGUACAUUAUCUCAUGUAACAGAAUUACGGCUGUAAAAUGGGUUUGUUAUAUGGGUUAAUGGGUUAGUUGGGGUUGUUAUAUGGGGUAAUGGGUUAGUUGGGUUUGUUAUAUGGGCUUGGGUUAAGUAAAAUGGGCAUGGUAUGUGGGUUUAAUAUAAAUAGAAAAUGUUGUGUUUGAGUUUUAGGGUUUUCUUUGGUUAGAACGACAGCUUCUCUGAUGCUGGCUUUUAGGCUCAUAUUCGUUCACUAAUCCACUCAGCAGUUUUAUGUUCUUCCACAAAUAAGUUUGCAUAAAAUAGUUUAACUAGCAUAAUAUUAGCUUGAUUAUCUAAAGACAGAAACAACUUCAUUUCAGCAUAAAAAAAUGUCUAAAUUUAAUCUAACUUUCUUCAAAUCCUCGAAAUCUAUAAUUUUUUCACCCUCAACUUUUUCAUUAACUAUAACUUGAGUAUAAAAAUAUUUCCUAUCCUUAGAAAUGAACUCAUACCUUUCCAUGAAAAAUGCAUUUCUCCCAUCAUUGUCUUAUUCAGAUCGUUCUUCCUCUGUCUCACUUGUCUCAGACUCCUUAAUAAUACUUUUCCUUGUCUUAUGAGGUGGAUUUUUAGGGGUUGAUUUUUCUUGUUUUUGGAAGGUUGUUUUUUGGUUGUGGUCGUUUCUUCUGGGCUAGGGUAGGAGAGAGGAAUUUUGAGGUCAACCCUUUCCAUGAGUCCCUUUUUUUUUUCCUUCGGAGAAGGCAAAACAGUCACCGCCAUUUUUUUCAAAUCCUUCGUGACUUUUAUUUUUCGUUGAACUGGAUUCGAACUCUCUUCCUUAUUAAUCGUCAUUUUCGAUUUUUUUAGAAGUAAUGCUUGACUUCUUGUUCUUUGUCGACAUUUAUACAAGUCGUUGGCAUCUAUUGAACCGUUGCUUAGUGGCGGUUACGAGAGAGAGAGAGAGAGAGAGAGAGAGAGAGAGAGAGAGAGAUGGUGAAUUUUAGGGAUUUCAAGAGAACGGUUUCUAAUAAAAAUCCUGAUUUUUUUCCUUUUUUGAAUAAUUAAAACACACCCGCAUCUUUAAAAACAAAACGUUACCGUUUUCCAAACUUAACUGAGCAUAACAUAUAUUCGUUCUUGACAUCAAUAGUUGUGGCUAAAUUUACAAUGAUAAAAGUGGACAUUUAUUCAUCAAAUAUAAUAAUAAGGGCUAACUCUGUAUUUAUGUGGCCAAAUUUAUAAAAACGAUCACUAUUACUAUAAAAAGAAAUGAGAAAGUAAGUUGAUAACUUGUCUCUUGAAACAUGCGUACAUUAAAUACUGAGAGUAUUUGUAUUUAUCACUUUCGUUGAUUGUUGAGCUUCAAUCUUAAAAAAUAAAUAUACUUCAAAGGGUUUCUAGUCUUUUUAACUUGGCUAGCAUCAGAAAGUUAUUAUUUAGAGUAACUUUCUCUAUAGAAAAAAAAUAUACUCAAAAAGAAAAAAUGGAGGGAGUAAUAAAGUAAAUUGAAUUUGUUGAUAAAAAAAUUUAGAGGCUAAACCAAUUCAAUUUUUAUACUCACUACUACUGGAAGAUAAUAUUAAAAAUUUUCGAGGGUUAAAGUUGCAAAAAAUGAAGUGUAAAGGAGAAAAGGCCAAAUUUUAUUGGUUCAACUGGUCUGUCAACCAAUCGAACCAGAGAAAUAAAAUGGGUAUAGGUGUAAAGGUGUAUAUAAUAGCAAAGAAAAACAAAUAACAUCACUGCAUUAAGAUUUGAUGAUGGAGAGAGUGAAAUUAUUGACAAAAAAAAAAAAAAAAAAAAAAAUUUCAUCGUUGCAAUGAGCUGUGGUCGAAUUUUGUACGAUGACGAAAUCUUACCGACGACGUGUCAUUUAGUCAAAUGACUCUCUAACAGCCUGUAAAGUACACUGAAAAGAUUAUGUCAGCCGUCCAAUUCCAUAGACAGAUUAUUAUUCAGUUUGUAUUUCCUUAAUCGACACUAAACAUUUUUAUUAUUAUUACUCUUUAAUAGUAUGAUAUUUUGGUCAAAGACAAAGACGCUUAUCAGCGCAAGGUACCAUCUACACACAGAAGGAGCCUUGUCGUUUGGGUUUGUCUCACUGGACUUUGGUGGGACCCAAUAAGAUUGCGCCGGCCCUAAUACAGUCUGCAUGUACGGAAACUCAUGCACUUUGUGCCUUUCUAGUUCCUUCUCGGAAAGUAGGUAGAUAAUUAUAUUACCUACAAAAGGCUUCGGUAAGCAUUACCUCAUUACAACAUUAGGAAUUUUUUUCAUAAUAAUAAUUAAUCUUCGCUAUUUCUACAUUUUUAUCUGCAAAAGGAUAAAAGUGUAAGUUGAAAAAACUCACUGUCUCCAGGGAGAUCCAUCGCACUUGAUUUGUCCAAGAUGGAGUUGGGUUUGGUCAUUCCUAUCUGUAGUUACUUAUCUUGCUCAUCUUCAUAACUCUUUGUUCUUAAAUUCUCUCGUAAUUGUCCAUCACAGCACUGGUUAUUUUCUCCUUGAGUUUCUCUUUAAAAACACACCCACAAAACUAAACCUAAACCUAACUGAUAAAAUAUGCCUCCUUCUGCUCUUUCUUCCUUCUCUGCCACUGAUCCCGAUGGUGGUCCUAAGGUUACCUUCUCUGGAGAUGAGCUUUUUACCAGAGAAGCUAUUCUUAAGCUUAAAACCAGACCUAAAACGAUCAAAAGGACUACUAGUAUCCAGUCUCGUCUAUUAGUCUUCACCUUCUUAUUAGCACUUAUCUCACACCUUUUCUGUACCUCCUGUGGUGAAGUUGGUACCGCUGCUCAAUACAGCUACAAACACGUUUCAGCGCAGUUUCAGUCAAAUAAGGCAGCCGGAGAUGGAGCUAAUAAGAAGACGGUGGGUGUUGACAAAGCACAACCAGAAACUUCUGUUCCAAACCCCUGUACGUACCUUCCGGUAAGAUAUGGGAAGCGCUGCUCAAAGCAUUAGAUUCAUAAUUACAUUUCUCCGAUAUUUUAUAUAAUUUUUAAGUUCAUAUUUGAAGUUUUAAUUAUAAGCAUUAAUUAUAUCUCUUUGUUCAUGCUCUUAAUUCUUCUACAAGUGAUUUAUCUGCUUUUGGUCUUAUUGUCAAAUAGAUUAGGAGAGAAGUAACUCAUACUUUGUCUAGAGCUUCCCAUAAUCAUGCUGGUUUUCAUGUUUAGGAGAAUAUACCUCCAUGUUUGUAUUUCCUUUGUAAAUUGUAAUGCUUAAUGAAGUUCUUUCAUUUUCAAAAAACAGAUAUAUAUCAUAUAUACAUGGUUUCAACCUUUUCAUUUCCUUUUUCUUUGUAUGUCUAUCAUAUAUCUAUGCGUAUGAUAUGGAAGGUUUAUGUAAUUUUGUUAUGUGCUUGAGCGAACGUUAGGCUUCUCGUGCUACAAUUCGAGGAAUAUAAAGUUUCCACUCAAAUAUUUCAGGCCAUAUAUGCUUGAUUUCGAGUUAAAUCAACCCAACUGCAAAUCGUAGUUGAACUCAAUUUAGGAAUAAAUUGAACGUUAGGCUUCUCUUUUUUUUUUUUUUUAUUUCUCCACGUUUAUGAUAUAUUGAUGUCAAUUUUGAUUGAAUUUAUAAUUAGGGAGCAAUUUUUGAUAUGAGUUAAAGUCAUUUUAUAUUGAAAUUAUUACAAGUCGAACGGUUAGAGAUAACCGAAAUAGUUUAGCCUAAAUAUAAAUCUUCCUCUCAUAAUAUAUUUUAAGAUCUAAAUUUUUUAAUUUUAAUAAGAAAUUUCUGUUACAUGUAAUUAAAUUAAUCAAAGAUAAAUACAAAUACAUAAUUAAAUUUUAACAAAUCAUUAAAUUAGUAUCUCACAAAACUAAAAAUUUCAGUUCAUUGAUAAGAAAUAAGUACAACUUCCAUUUAGUUAGUUAGUAAUGUCACUUCAAAUAUUCAAAGGGUUAAAAGUUGAACCUGUCCACUUCAAACAUUAAUAAAGUAUUGUAUUUGUAAAUCAUAAUGCUUGUACUAUACAUAAAUCAUUAUAAAAUUAGUAAACCAAGUUGACCGUAUUGAAUAAUUCAGUUCAAAUCAACUAAUUACUGUUAAGAUAAAUUGAAAUUUUCAAAGAAAUCUGAACAAAUAAAAAAUUUAGUACCUUUCAAAUUCCACCGACAAAUUCAGCAAUCUAUCCUGUAAUUUAGUACCUCAAAAUUAUGAGAGCUCCUAACCAAACCUGAAAUGGAAGUCCAAUAUUGAAGGUCCAACCCAUUACCAUUUGGACCAAACUAUGCUCUAUCCAUUGGGCUAGAGUCACUGUUUAUCUAAAAUAAAUAGGUUCGCUACAUAAAAUUUCCGCUGAUCGACUUUGUGAUUUUAAUUUUAUAGCACUUUCAAUAUUUACUUUGAUCUAUUAAACACUGUAAUUUAUAAAAUUACAUAUAUGAAAUAAUUUAACUUGCAAAAUCAUUUUAUUGAAAAAUUCAAUCUGUAAAAUCAAAUAAAUUAAACACUUAUCAAAUAGUUGAAAUAUAAAAAUUAUUCUAAAUAUGAUAAUUAUAUAUUAAUUCAAUAUUUUAUAUAUAAAAGCCAAUAAUUCGAAAAACUAUGGUUAGCGUGCCGUAAAAUUAAAGUUACAAAAUUUAAAGAUGAAUUCCUAUGUUCAGCAAAAAUAAAUUACCAUGAAUAAAUUAAAAAUAACUAUUGCUGUAAGAACAUAUCUAUCAUAACGCUAUGGAAAAUAAUUAGCAAAAUUAUUUAUAAAAGGGAGGUAUUUUAGAAUACCUCUUUUCUCUUCUUUUUCCUCUCCUUCUUACCUGUCCUCGAACCUUGGCAGCAAGAUAAGACUGUGCAAGUAUCAAACCACCAAGGCACUUUAG